This 92-nucleotide small nuclear RNA is filed under the name Prolemur simus (greater bamboo lemur). The record is from RNAcentral. Lineage: Eukaryota; Metazoa; Chordata; Mammalia; Primates; Lemuridae.
GUGACUGCUUCGGCAGCACAUAUACUAAAAUUGGAAUGACACAGAGAAGAUUAGCAUGGCCCCUGCUCAAGGAUGACAUGUAAAUAAUAUUU